AGAGGAAGAGGAAGAGGAAGAUGUUGAUGUUGAUGUUGAUGAGGAGGUUGAGGAUGAGGAUGAGGACUUUUUGCUGGAAGAAGAAGAUUUUUCAGAUGAGGAAGAACCAGCUGUUAGAAAGAGAGGAACCCAUAUGAAACGUGGUCGAAAUGCGGUGCGGAAAAAUACUGUUGGCAAAGUUUGCAAAAAGAGGAAGCCAAAGGCUGCAAAGAAACCUACAAGGAAUAAACGCAGAAAGAAGAAUGGCCCGCAGACUGUACAAAACUCAGAUGAUGAUGAUUUUUCCGAAAAUUACCCUACAGCGAAGAUUACGAGAAGGAAAAGGCC
Molecule: unclassified non-coding RNA, 327 nt
Filed under: Hevea brasiliensis (rubber tree)
Lineage: Eukaryota; Viridiplantae; Streptophyta; Magnoliopsida; Malpighiales; Euphorbiaceae
Source: RNAcentral